This 1030-nucleotide ribosomal RNA is filed under the name Pithecopus nordestinus. RNAcentral's name for it is "partial large subunit ribosomal RNA". It matches the Rfam family "Bacterial large subunit ribosomal RNA", at positions 815 to 2541 of the family's 2925-position model. Lineage: Eukaryota; Metazoa; Chordata; Amphibia; Anura; Hylidae. The record is from RNAcentral.
GUAGAGGUGACAGACCUAACGAGCUUAGUGAUAGCUGGUUACUUAAGAAAAGGAUCUUAGUCCCCCCUAAAUUUUUUAUAAUAUUUACAAAUAGAAACUAAAAUUUAGAGUAAUUCAAAUAAGGUACAGCCUAUUUGAAUCAGGAUACAACCUUCACAAACGGGUAACUAAACUUUUAUGUAGCUAAGUAGGCCUAAAAGCAGCCACCUUCAAAAAGCGUCAAAGCUUAUCUACAAAUUUUCUUAAUCCCCCUAAUCUUUAAAAACCCUUAAUCUUUAUUAAGUAACUCUAUAAAAUUAUAGAACCUAUUAUGUUAAAACUAGUAACAAGAACUAGAACUUCUCUUUAAUGUAAGUGUAAAUCAGAUUGGACAAACCACUGAUUUUUAACAUUUGGAACCAAAGUAACAACUUAUCAAGAAAACCUUACCUCACACAAUGUUAACCUGACACAAGAACAUUUUAAGACAGAUUUAAAGGAAAAGAAGGAACUCGGCAAACAUUAACCUCGCCUGUUUACCAAAAACAUCGCCUCUUGAAAACCAUAUAAGAGGUCCAGCCUGCCCAGUGACUCUGUUCAACGGCCGCGGUAUCCUAACCGUGCGAAGGUAGCGUAAUCACUUGUUCUUUAAAUGAGGACUAGUAUGAACGGCAUUACGAGGGUUAUACUGUCUCCUCUUCCUAAUCAGUGAAACUAAUCUCCUCGUGAAGAAGCGAGGAUAAACCUAUAAGACGAGAAGACCCUAUGGAGCUUUAAACUCUCAGCAAUUAUUUUUUCUACACCAACCUUAAGGUUAUUACACUAACUUUAAUAAUAUGCCUGUCAGUUUUCGGUUGGGGUGACCGCGGAGUAAAACCCACCCUCCGCAAUGAAUAUUAAAAGCAAAAAACUACAAUUUUAUGCAUCAAAAAAUUGACAGUAUUGACCCAACACUUUGAUCAACGAACCAAGUUACCCUAGGGAUAACAGCGCAAUCCAUCUCAAGAGCUCAUAUCGACAGAUGGGUUUACGACCUCGAUGUUGGAUCAGG